Molecule: small RNA, 28 nt
Filed under: Bombyx mori (domestic silkworm)
Lineage: Eukaryota; Metazoa; Arthropoda; Insecta; Lepidoptera; Bombycidae
Description: ovarian small RNA-4631
Source: RNAcentral
CAACAGUUCGUUAACUGAAUACAGCCGG